AUUGAACGCUGGCGGAAUGCUUUACACAUGCAAGUCGAACGGGCUUAAGGAGCUUGCUCUUUAAGUUAGUGGCGAACGGGUGAGUAAUAUAUCGGAACGUAUCCAAUAAUGGGGGAUAACUAAUCGAAAGGUUGGCUAAUACCGCAUACGCCCUACGGGGGAAAGCUAGGGACCUUCGGGCCUGGCGUUAAUGGAGCGGC
This 200-nucleotide ribosomal RNA is filed under the name uncultured bacterium. RNAcentral describes it as "partial 16S ribosomal RNA". It matches the Rfam family "Bacterial small subunit ribosomal RNA", at positions 30 to 230 of the family's 1533-position model. The record is from RNAcentral.